This 668-nucleotide small RNA is filed under the name Vigna angularis var. angularis. RNAcentral's name for it is "Non-protein coding transcript". The record is from RNAcentral. Lineage: Eukaryota; Viridiplantae; Streptophyta; Magnoliopsida; Fabales; Fabaceae.
GAAAAUUAUUCGUAUAGAUGUGUGUGGCCUAGCAAAGGCAUUGGAUUCACUUUCUUGCAUCUAUAUAUUGCUGGCUUAGGGUUGUUGGUAACGAUAAGGCAGUCCGAAAGCAAAAGAAGUUAGAGAGCAAUUUCGUAGUAAGAGAUCAGAAUGGCAUACCGAUGGCGUCAGAGGAAGCUCACGUUUGACAACGAUGGUACUUCAGACUCAUUCAACAACGUUGGCGGCGGAAACCAGAAUUUUUCCAAUGCAAAAAUCAACAGUGGAGCUAAUUCAGGCGAUCGAAACAGAAUGUGUAUUUUUGGGUAACCAACACGAAGCAGUAACAAUAGACUUAAUAAUGCAUUCUCGAGAAACUAUAUAAGGCAAUUACUUGAGAAUUUCCGAUUCGCAAUCCAGACGAUCUAAAUGACAUCUGAGACGAACUUUUGAAGAGACUUUGAUAAGAAGACUUUGAACAGAUGACUUCGAUCAAGCAGACAUUAGAAUCUAGGAUGAUGUCCUUUUUAAUUGUCAAUUCUUCCUAAUUAUAGAAUCGCAGGUUUAUUAACUGAGAUACAUACGUGAUGAUCUGGAGGCCGAGGAACAGCCCAAAAGUCCAAAGUAAUGGAAAUUCAUAAACCAACCAUGACGAGGGUUUGAGAAAAAUAUUUUAUUUCAAUCCCUGA